This 63-nucleotide microRNA precursor is filed under the name Parasteatoda tepidariorum (common house spider). RNAcentral describes it as "microRNA pte-mir-11968 precursor (pte-mir-11968-2)". Lineage: Eukaryota; Metazoa; Arthropoda; Arachnida; Araneae; Theridiidae. The record is from miRBase by way of RNAcentral.
AGGGACAUUGACUAGCAAGCUGUUGUUAUAUUUUAUGCCCAGCUUUCUGGUAAUAGUCUCCCU